Molecule: long non-coding RNA, 524 nt
Organism: Myotis brandtii (Brandt's bat)
Lineage: Eukaryota; Metazoa; Chordata; Mammalia; Chiroptera; Vespertilionidae
Exons: 2
Source: RefSeq, a predicted model, not a curated record
CCAUAGGAUGGCACGGCCUCCCCCCCAUGAACUUGGUGCUGUCGGGCGUGGAGUAUUUUUCCAACUCUCAGCCCCAUUCCCACGGCCAAACUGAGAACGUGAACAAAGAGGCGAGCGUCCCCUUUGGCACCAAUCGUAAGCCAGUGUUCACUGCAGCCUCACCUGGAGAUGCAAUUUGAUAGAAGAAUGAGAAGAAGAAAAGAAACAGAGCCGGGGAACGCCUGGUGGGCCGGCCUUGUCGCCAGCCAUUGGUCACUCAGCCUCAUGCCGCACAGAGGUGGCCUCUGUCCCCUUGGUGCCCAGGGGACCCCCCUCCUGGGGGAUGGGAACGUGUUGGGCCUGCAGGCAGGUGACAGGGAUGCUUCCUGUGAGGUGGGAGGAAGUGAACACGAAGGGGCGGGCCUGACCCCUCGAGUGACACUCACGUGUGGGCAGAUUGGCUUCGGGAAAGAGCAGGGACGCUGAGGACCUGGAAACCGGGUCCCUCGGGAAAGUCACAAGGCGCUCUCGACCCCCAGGCGAAC